Molecule: ribosomal RNA, 253 nt
Filed under: uncultured bacterium
Lineage: Bacteria
Description: partial 16S ribosomal RNA
Rfam family: Bacterial small subunit ribosomal RNA
Source: RNAcentral
CACGUAGGGCGCAAGCGUUGUCCGGAAUUAUUGGGCGUAAAGAGCUCGUAGGCGGUCUGUUGCGUCCGCUGUGAAAACUCGGGGCUUAACCCCGAGCCUGCAGUGGAUACGGGCAGACUAGAGGUAGGUAGGGGAGAAUGGAAUUCCCGGUGUAGCGGUGAAAUGCGCAGAUAUCGGGAGGAACACCGGUGGCGAAGGCGGCCUGCUGGGCUAUGGCUGACACUGAGGCGCGACAGCGUGGGGAGCAAACAGG